RNAcentral lists this ribosomal RNA (465 nucleotides) under uncultured bacterium. Its description in RNAcentral is "partial 16S ribosomal RNA". It matches the Rfam family "Bacterial small subunit ribosomal RNA", at positions 28 to 507 of the family's 1533-position model. The record is from RNAcentral.
GACGAACGCUGGCGGCGUGCUUAACACAUGCAAGUCGAACGGAAAGGCCCUGCUUGCAGGGUACUCGAGUGGCGAACGGGUGAGUAACACGUGGGUGAUCUGCCCUGCACUUCGGGAUAAGCCUGGGAAACUGGGUCUAAUACCGGAUAGGAGCCAUUUUUAGUGUGAUGGUUGGAAAGUUUUUUCGGUGUAGGAUGAGCUCGCGGCCUAUCAGCUUGUUGGUGGGGUAAUGGCCUACCAAGGCGGCGACGGGUAGCCGGCCUGAGAGGGUGGACGGCCACAUUGGGACUGAGAUACGGCCCAGACGCCUACGGGAGGCAGCAGGGGGGAAUAUUGCACAAGGGGCGCAAGCCUGAUGCAGCGACGCCGCGGGGGGGAUGACGGCCUUCGGGUUGUAAACUCCUUUCGCUAGGGACGAAGCUUUUUGUGACGGUACCUAGAUAAGAAGCACCGGCUAACUACGUG